UACGGAGGGUGCAAGCGUUGUUCGGAAUCAUUGGGCGUAAAGCGCGUGUAGGCGGCUUGGCAAGUCGGUUGUGAAAGCCCGGGGCCCAACCCCGGAACUGCAUCUGAAACUGCCUGGCUAGAGUCCCGGAGAGGAAGGCAGAAUUCCCGGUGUAGGGGUGAAAUCCGUAGAUAUCGGGAGGAAUACCAGCGGCGAAGGCGGCCUUCUGGACGGUGACUGACGCUGAGACGCGAAAGCGUGGGGAGCAAACCGG
Molecule: ribosomal RNA, 253 nt
Filed under: uncultured bacterium
Lineage: Bacteria
Description: partial 16S ribosomal RNA
Rfam family: Bacterial small subunit ribosomal RNA
Source: RNAcentral